RNAcentral lists this ribosomal RNA (1560 nucleotides) under Triticum aestivum (bread wheat). RNAcentral describes it as "partial small subunit ribosomal RNA". The record is from RNAcentral. Lineage: Eukaryota; Viridiplantae; Streptophyta; Magnoliopsida; Poales; Poaceae.
AUGGACGCUAGCAGUGUCAGCCCCUCGAUAGCCUCCGCGCCAACUAGCCGAUUGCUCCCGAUACGCACGCCGAGAUCGGCACCGGCCGAAUGGACGACGACGGACGAUUUCUCGGCGGCUACCGAGGAGGAAGAGCCUGUCACCCCUACUGCAAGACUCAUGGAAGGUAUAUACAUCGUCGUUACCAUCGGCCUUGGUUCGCCCGUAAACCUACCGGUCUUCAGCGCCGGCGUUGCCGCGGAACUUGCCCGUUUCCCACGCUUCCGCAGCAUCCAGGUCACAGAUGGGUCAAAGGACGGCAACAACCCGCGGUGGGCGCGCACGGCGGUGAACGUGGAGGACCACAUGAUCGUCCCGACGCUUGACCCCGCCGCCGUGGCGGCCGACCCGGACCGGGCCGUGGAGGACUACGUGGCCUCGGUGUACACGCUCCCCAUGGACCGCUCCCGCCCGCUAUGGGAGUUCCACUUCCUCGACUUCCCAACCUCCGAGGCGGCCUCCACCGUGGUGGCCCGCGUGCACCACUCCCUCGGCGACGGGAUGUCGCUCAUCACACUCCUCCUGGCGUCCGCGCGCAGCGCCGCCGACCCGACACGCCUGCCGGCCAUGCCGGAGCCGCCGGCGCGCACAGGCGCCAUCUACGCGCCGCGGCGCCGUGAGCCGACAUCCCCUGGCGCCCUAGCAGCGUUCAUCACGUGGAUCUGGCCGUAUCUCGUGCUCGCAUGGAACACCAUGGUGGACGUCAGCUUAUUCGCUGCGACGACUGUGUUCCUGAGGGACCCGUGGACACCCUUCAGACGUGCGGACGGCGACGUCAUGUUGAACCCCCGUAGGCGCUUUGUGCACCGGAGCCUUAGCUUGGACGACGUCAAGUUCAUCAAGAAUGCCAUGAGUUGCACUGUCAAUGAUGUGCUGGUUGGGGCAACUUCCGCUGCUCUGUCACGCUAUUACUUUCGCAACUCUGGUGGCACUGACACCUACAGAACAUGGUUGCGGUCUGUCCUCCUUGUAAAUACAAGGCCAACCGCUAGCCUACAAGCAUAUGCUAAUAUGAUAGAAUCCGGUAGGAGCAACGAUGUGGCAUGGGGAAAUCAACUAGGCUACAUCCUCCUUCCAUUUCAUUUAGCAAUGCACAAUGAUCCACUUGCAUAUGUUCGCAAGGCUAAGAUGACCGUGGACAGGAAAAAGAGCUCACUUGAAGCUAUCUUCACAUGUAAGACAAGUGAAGUUUUUGUCAAAAUGUUUGGUCUGAAGGCAGGCGCUUUUACCUUCCGCCGUAUGUUCGCCAAUACAACUAUUUCAUUCUCAAACUUGGUUGGACCAAUUGAAAAAAUAGAGUUGUGUGGGCAUCCAGUUGUCUUCAUUGCGCCUAGCGUUUAUGGAGUUCCCCAAGCUUUGAUUGUGCACUACCAGAGUUAUAAUAACACUAUUAAGAUAGUUUUAUCAGUUGAUGAGGAAAUAUUUCCAAAUUAUAGUCAACUUUUGGAUGACUUUGUCGAGUCCUUCGGACUCAUUAAGGAUGCGGCUUCAAGGCUUUCAGAAUCCAUCAAGAAAGAGUAA